This 478-nucleotide ribosomal RNA is filed under the name Parmelia serrana. Its description in RNAcentral is "SSU rRNA". Lineage: Eukaryota; Fungi; Ascomycota; Lecanoromycetes; Lecanorales; Parmeliaceae. The record is from RNAcentral.
GGAGGAUGUAUAGCAAUAGCUACUUGCAUCAUCCUUUUCUCAUUUUAUUCUUCUCGUUUUCUUCUUUUUAAGAAGAAAAUGAGAAGAAUAAAAGUAGAGAAAAGUAAAGAUGAUGCAAGAUCGACUAUGUCGAAUAAAAUUCUAGGUAGAAUUAUGAUAAUGACAUUGUCUGCCUAUGUGUCUUGACCAAAUUACGUGCCAGCAGUCGCGGUAAUACGUAGAAGACUAGUGUUAUUCAUGUUUAAUCGGUUUAAAGGGUACCUAGACGGUAAAUCAAGCUUUCAAAGAAAAACAAGACAAAAUUGAUAGUAUAGUGAUAAUUAAAGGACUAAUUUACUAGAGUUACUUAUGAGGGGGUAUUAAAGUACUGCUGGUGUAGAGAUGAAAUUCUGUCAUACCUCUUUUCAAAAGAAAAAUGAUGGCACAGGUAUAGGCGAAGGCAUCCCCUUAUGUGAUAACUGACGUUGAAGGACGAAGG